This 104-nucleotide non-coding RNA is filed under the name Paenibacillus sabinae. Its description in RNAcentral is "Guanine sequence". It matches the Rfam family "Purine riboswitch aptamer". Rfam says of the family: Riboswitches are metabolite binding domains within certain messenger RNAs that serve as precision sensors for their corresponding targets. Allosteric rearrangement of mRNA structure is mediated by ligand binding, and this results in modulation of gene expression. Lineage: Bacteria; Bacillati; Bacillota; Bacilli; Caryophanales; Paenibacillaceae. The record is from RNAcentral.
UAAGAAAAAAACAAUUGGACUCAUAUAAUCGUGGGAAUAUGGCCCAUAAGUUUCUACCGGAUGACCACAGCAAUUGUCCGACUAUGAGUGAACAGCGCGACCCG